RNAcentral lists this transfer RNA (61 nucleotides) under Aenictopecheidae sp. PJ-2015. RNAcentral's name for it is "tRNA-His". The record is from RNAcentral. Lineage: Eukaryota; Metazoa; Arthropoda; Insecta; Hemiptera; Aenictopecheidae.
AUUUGAAUAGUUUAAUUAGAAUAAUAAUUUGUGGAAUUAUAGGUAUAUUUUAUUUCAAAUA